RNAcentral lists this ribosomal RNA (1947 nucleotides) under human metagenome. Its description in RNAcentral is "bacterial LSU rRNA". It matches the Rfam family "Bacterial large subunit ribosomal RNA", at positions 1 to 1977 of the family's 2925-position model. The record is from RNAcentral.
GUCAAGUACAAAGAGCAUCGGGUGGAUGCCUUGGCACUGGGAGCCGAAGAAGGACGUGAUAAGCUGCGAUAAGCUGCGGUAAGGAGCACAUAUCCGAUAUACCCGCAGAUUUCCGAAUGGGGGAACCCACAUACGGUAAUGCGUAUGUAUCAUUAAGUGAAUACAUAGCUUAAUGAAGGGAACGGGGUGAACUGAAACAUCUAAGUAGCCCUAGGAAGAGAAAGAAAAAUCGAUUUCCUGAGUAGCGGCGAGCGAAAGGGAAAGAGGCCAAACCAAAUUGUUUACAGUUUGGGGUUGUGGACCACCGACAUUGACGAAGUUAUGCGAGCCGAAUAGGGUUGGAAAGCUCAAGCAGAGAAGGUAAUACUCCUGUAGGCGAAGCAGAAAGCGCAUAGGUGGCACCAGAGUAGGACCGGACACGUGUAACCCGGUCUGAAGCAGGAGGGACCACCCUCCAAGCCUAAAUACUACCCAGUGACCGAUAGCGAAUAGUACCGUGAGGGAAAGGUGAAAAGAACCCCGGGAGGGGAGUGAAAUAGAAUCUGAAACCUGAUGCUUACAAGCAUAGGGAGCGCAAGUGACCUAGUACUUUUUGUAGAACGGGCCAACGAGUUAUGGUAUGUAGCGAGGUUAAGUUGCUGGAGCAACGGAGCCGUAGAGAAAUCGAGUCUGAAUAGGGCGAGAGUUACAUGCUGUAGACCCGAAACCGGGUGACCUAUCCAUGAGCAGGUUGAAGUAACCGUAAAAGGUUAUGGAGGACCGAACCUAUAUCUGUUGAAAAAGGUUAGGAUGACUUGUGGAUAGCGGUGAAAUUCCAAUCGAACUCGGAUAUAGCUGGUUCUCCUCGAAAUAGCUUUAGGGCUAGCCUCAAGGUAAAGAUACACGGGGGUAGAGCACUGACUGUUCGCGGGGCCUUCACCGGUUACCAACAACUAUCAAACUCCGAAUACCGUGCUAUCAUACUUGGGAGUCAGACUAUGAGAGAUAAGUUCCAUGGUCGAAAGGGAAACAGCCCAGAUUAACAGCUAAGGUCCCAAAGAGUAAGUUAAGUGGAAAAGGAUGUGGGAUUGCACAAACAGCUAGGAUGUUGGCUUAGAAGCAGCCAUACAUUUAAAGAGUGCGUAAUAGCUCACUAGUCGAGUGAUCCUGCGCCGAAGAUAAACGGGGCUCAAACUUACCACCGAAGCUUUGGAAUUAGUAUAACUAAUUGGUAGAGGAGCAUUCUAUACAGGUAGAAGGAGGCGCGUAAGCAAAUCUGGACGGUAUAGAAGAGAGAAUGUUGGCAUGAGUAGCGUAAGGCGGGUGAGAAUCCCGUCCGCCGAAAAUCUAAGGUUUCCUGAGGAAGGUUCGUCCUCUCAGGGUAAGUCGGGACCUAAGCCGAGAGCGAACGCUGUAGGCGAUGGACAACAGGUUGAUAUUCCUGUACCACCAAGGAUUGUUUGAAUGAAGUGGGGACACAGAAGGAUAGAUUGAGCACGCCGUUGGUUGAGCGUGUCCAAGCAGCAAGGCUUGAAAGUAGGCAAAUCCGCUUUCUAUAAGGCUGAGCUGUGAUGGGGUGGUCGAAUGACCGGUAGCAAUCGAUUUCACGCUGUCAAGAAAAGCCGCUAAUGAGAUCCAAGGUGCCCGUACCGCAAACCGACACAGGUAGAUGAGGAGAGAAUCCUAAGGUGAGCGAGCGAACUAUUGUUAAGGAACUCGGCAAAAUAACCCCGUAACUUCGGGAGAAGGGGUGCCUGCUUCGGCAGGCCGCAGUGAAGAGGUCCAGGCAACUGUUUACCAAAAACACAGGUCUCUGCUAAAGCGAAAGCUGAUGUAUAGGGGCUGACGCCUGCCCGGUGCUGGAAGGUUAAGGGGAAGUGUUAGGGCAACCGAAGCACAGAACUUAAGCCCCAGUAAACGGCGGCCGUAACUAUAACGGUCCUAAGGUAGCGAAAUUCCUUGUCGGGU